RNAcentral lists this ribosomal RNA (836 nucleotides) under uncultured bacterium. RNAcentral's name for it is "bacterial SSU rRNA". It matches the Rfam family "Bacterial small subunit ribosomal RNA", at positions 26 to 916 of the family's 1533-position model. The record is from RNAcentral.
GCGGUUUAAGCUGGCGGCGUGCUUACACAUGCAAGUCGAACGAACCUUCGGGUUAGUGGCGGACGGGUGAGUAACGCGUGAGAAUCUGCCCUCAGGAGGGGGAUAACGGUUGGAAACGACCGCUAAUACCCCAUAUGCCUACUGGUGAAAUGAAUUUCGCCUGAGGAUGAGCUCGCGUCUGAUUAGUUUGUUGGUGGGGUAAUGGCCUACCAAGACUGUGAUCAAUAGCUGAUUUGAGAGGAUGAUCAGCCACAUUGGGACUGAGACACGGCCCAAACUCCUACGGGAGGCAGCAGUGGGGAAUCUUGCACAAUGGAGGAAACUCUGAUGCAGCGAUGCCGCGUGAGUGAAGGAGGCCUUUGGGUUGUAAAGCUCUUUCGUCGGGGAAGAAAAUGACUGUACCCGAAUAAGAAGGUCCGGCUAACUUCGUGCCAGCAGCCGCGGUAAUACGAAGGGACCUAGCGUAGUUCGGAAUUACUGGGCUUAAAGAGUUCGUAGGCGGUCUGAUAAGUCAGAUGUGAAAGGCGUAGGCUCAACCUAUGUAAGCAUAUGAAACUGUCAGACUUGAGGUAAGGAGAGGAAAGUGGAAUUCCUAGUGUAGCGGUGAAAUGCGUAGACAUUAGGAGGAAUACCAGUGGCGAAGGCGACUUUCUGGACUUAAACUGACGCUGAGGAACGAAAGCGUGGGGAGCAAACAGGAUUAGAUACCCUGGUAGUCCACGCCGUAAACGAUGAGUGCUAGGUGUCGGUUAGAAAUAUUCGGUGCCACAGCUAACGCAAUAAGCACUCCGCCUGGGGAGUACGUACGCAAGUAUGAAACUCAAAUGAAUUGACGG